RNAcentral lists this ribosomal RNA (439 nucleotides) under uncultured bacterium. RNAcentral describes it as "partial 16S ribosomal RNA". It matches the Rfam family "Bacterial small subunit ribosomal RNA", at positions 339 to 795 of the family's 1533-position model. The record is from RNAcentral.
CUACGGGCUGCUGCAGUGGGGAAUAUUGCACAAUGGAGGAAACUCUGAUGCAGCAACGCCGCGUGGAGGAUGACACAUUUCGGUGCGUAAACUCCUUUUAUAUGGGAAGAUAAUGACGGUACCAUAUGAAUAAGCACCGGCUAACUCCGUGCCAGCAGCCGCGGUAAUACGGAGGGUGCAAGCGUUACUUGGAAUCACUGGGCGUAAAGCGCGCGCAGGCGGCCUUUUAAGUUGGAUGUGAAAGCCUAUGGCUCAACCAUAGAACUGCAUCCAAAACUAUCAGGCUAGAGUGUGGGAGAGGAAGAUGGAAUUAGUUGUGUAGGGGUAAAAUCCGUAGAGAUAACUAGGAAUACCAAAAGCGAAGGCAAUCUUCUGGAACAUUACUGACGCUGAGGCGCGAAAGCGUGGGGAGCAAACAGGAUUAGAUACCCUUGUAGUC